AUGUCCAUCUUUAAGGAAUUCUCUUUGGGCACUUGUGAUCUCCGCCACCUUAACUAUGGGGUCAUCACCCUCAUCCCCAAGGUCCCUGGCGCAUCGGAUAUCCGCCAAUUCCGCUCGAUCACAGUGAUCAACAUGAUCUUUCGCAUACUAGCAAAGGGGUACGCCAAUAGGGUGACCUCUCUGGCCAACCGCAUCACCCAUCCGGACCAGUCGGCCUUCAUUUAGGGACGGUUCAUCCUUGAUGGUGUCCUUGUCUUUCACGAUGUCCUCCAUGAGGACCGGUCCAAACACCUCAAGGCUAUCUUCCUGAAGAUUGACUUCCAUAAAGCCUACAACACGGUCAGCUGGCCCUUCCUUCGGGAAGUUUUGAUUCGGAAGGGAUUUGACGACCGGUGGGUCAUGAGGGUCAUGCAUAUGGUCUCCUCGGGGCAAACCGUGGUCAAUAUCAAUGGGGAGAUUGGCCCCCUAUUUCCCUACACUAUGUGGGGUCAGAUAGGGCAGUCCUUUCUCCCCAUUCCUUUUGGACAUGGUCGUCGAUGCACUUGCAGCUAUCCUCGACAAGGCGAAGGCGGUUGGGCACAUCCGCGGUAUUGUUCCCCACCUUGUCAGCGGCAACAGGGUCUCUUUGCUCCAGUACGCAGAUGA
Molecule: ribosomal RNA, 645 nt
Filed under: Triticum aestivum (bread wheat)
Lineage: Eukaryota; Viridiplantae; Streptophyta; Magnoliopsida; Poales; Poaceae
Description: partial small subunit ribosomal RNA
Source: RNAcentral